GAAGAUUGUGCCUCGACCUGUGCCACGCCUGUAUGUUUGUCUGAACGGUGGAACGGGAAUCGGACAUCUGCCAUGCUUUCCACUGCCUUCCUCUCGCGCGCGCAGGCAAGGCAAGGGCUGCGUGCGCUCGGUCAUUGCAAUCAUAACGAUGCUCCACUCCCCAAAUUUGCUGCUGCUAGUUCAUUUUUUGGCUCGUUCGUUUGUUUAUUUGUUCUGUUUUUCCUCUGCAGUGUCCCGUUUUGUUCAUCACGGCAACAAAAUCAAUUAACAGCUUAAGCUGUAAUCCUUCAUCCUUAACAAUUGCA
This 305-nucleotide long non-coding RNA is filed under the name Volvox carteri. Its description in RNAcentral is "long non-coding RNA (VCAR_LNC001580)". Lineage: Eukaryota; Viridiplantae; Chlorophyta; Chlorophyceae; Chlamydomonadales; Volvocaceae. The record is from RNAcentral.